This 403-nucleotide ribosomal RNA is filed under the name Verrucomicrobiota bacterium. RNAcentral's name for it is "Verrucomicrobia bacterium partial 16S ribosomal RNA". It matches the Rfam family "Bacterial small subunit ribosomal RNA", at positions 355 to 776 of the family's 1533-position model. The record is from RNAcentral. Lineage: Bacteria; Pseudomonadati; Verrucomicrobiota.
UGGGGAAUAUUGCACAAUGGGGGAAACCCUGAUGCAGCGACGCCGCGUGAGCGAAGAAGGUUUUCGAAUCGUAAAGCUCUGUCCUAUGGGAAGAUAAUGACGGUACCAUAGGAGGAAGCCCCGGCUAACUACGUGCCAGCAGCCGCGGGAAUACGUAGGGGGCAAGCGUUGUCCGGAAUCACUGGGCGUAAAGGGUUCGCAGGCGGAAAUGCAAGUCAGUUGUGAAAGGCAGAGGCUCAACCUCUGUAAGCAAUUGAAACUGUAUUUCUUGAGAUGUGGAGAGGCGAGUGGAAUUCCUAGUGUAGCGGUGAAAUGCGUAGAUAUUAGGAGGAAUACCGGUGGCGAAGGCGACUUGCUGGACACAAACUGACGCUGAGGAACGAAAGAGUGGGUAGCAAACAGG